This 460-nucleotide ribosomal RNA is filed under the name uncultured bacterium. Its description in RNAcentral is "partial 16S ribosomal RNA". It matches the Rfam family "Bacterial small subunit ribosomal RNA", at positions 338 to 795 of the family's 1533-position model. The record is from RNAcentral.
CCUACGGGUGGCAGCAGUGAGGAAUAUUGGUCAAUGGCCGAGAGUCUGAACCAGCCAAGUCGCGUGAAGGAUGACUGCCCUAUGGGUUGUAAACUUCUUUUAUAAAGGAAUAAAACGAGGCACGUGUGCCUUUUUGCAUGUACUCUAUGAAUAAGGAUCGGCUAACUCCGUGCCAGCAGCCGCGGUAAUACGGAGGAUCCGAGCGUUAUCCGGAUUUAUUGGGUUUAAAGGGAGCGUAGGUGGGUUGUUAAGUCAGUUGUGAAAGUUUGAGGCUCAACCGUAAAAUUGCAAUUGAUACUGGCAGGCUUGAGUACAGUUGAGGUAGGCGGAAUGCGUGGUGUAGCGGUGAAAGGCUUAGAGAUCACGAAGAACCCCGAUUGCGAAGGCAGCUUACUAAGCUGUGACUGACAUUGAGGCACGAAAGUGUGGGUAUCAAACAGGAGUAGAUACCCGAGUAGUC